UACGAGGGGGGCAAAUGUUGUUCGGAAUCACUGGGCGUAAAGGGAGCGUAGGCGGGUUCUUAAGUUAGGUGUUUAAUCCCGGGGCCCAACCCCGGACCGGCACUUAAAACUGGGAAUCUUGAAUAGUGGAGAGGUCGGUGGAAUUGGGGGUGUAGCGGUGGAAUGCGUAGAGAUCCCCAAGAACACCAGUUGCGAAGGCGGCCGACUGGACCGAAACUGACGCUGAGGCGCGAAAGCCAGGGGAGCAAACGGG
RNAcentral lists this ribosomal RNA (253 nucleotides) under uncultured bacterium. RNAcentral describes it as "partial 16S ribosomal RNA". It matches the Rfam family "Bacterial small subunit ribosomal RNA", at positions 524 to 776 of the family's 1533-position model. The record is from RNAcentral.